UUGCCUACGGGAGGCAGCAGUGGGGGAUAUUGCACAAUGGGGGGAACCCUGAUGCAGCGACGCCGCGUGGGUGAAGGAGCGUUUCGGCGCGUAAAGCCCUAUCAGCAGGGAAGAAAAUGACGGUACCUGACUAAGAAGCCCCGGCUAACUACGUACCAGCAGCCGCGGUAAUACGUAGGGGGCAAGCGUUAUCCGGAUUUACUGGGUGUAAAGGGAGCGUAGACGGCAGCGCAAGUCUGGAGUGAAAUGCCGGGGCCCAACCCCGGAACUGCUUUGGAAACUGUGCAGCUCGAGUGCAGGAGAGG
This 305-nucleotide ribosomal RNA is filed under the name uncultured bacterium. RNAcentral's name for it is "bacterial SSU rRNA". It matches the Rfam family "Bacterial small subunit ribosomal RNA", at positions 335 to 657 of the family's 1533-position model. The record is from RNAcentral.